RNAcentral lists this small nuclear RNA (104 nucleotides) under Sorex araneus (European shrew). Lineage: Eukaryota; Metazoa; Chordata; Mammalia; Eulipotyphla; Soricidae. The record is from RNAcentral.
ACUGUGUUAUCGCUCCAGUCCAUACUAAAAUUGGAACAAUACAGAGAAGAUUAGCAUGUCCCCUGCGCAAGAAUGACACGCAAAGUAAUAAACAAUAAAGAUUA